GAUCCCAGCCAUUAACGAAGUCCCAAGCUACCCAUCCCGUGUCUGCAGAUUAAGCAUCCCAGCCUCAAAACAGAGUUCAUCUCCCCUGCUUCCAUGAUUCCUCCCAAGCUUCCCAGCCAUCAACCGAAUCCUCAAGUUCUUUCUCAGGCGGGAUAAGCCUUCCGAAACGCCCAGAUCUCAUCCCGUUUGGAACGGAGUCCCAUCG
This 205-nucleotide long non-coding RNA is filed under the name Phoenix dactylifera (date palm). RNAcentral's name for it is "long non-coding RNA (PDAC_LNC015911)". The record is from RNAcentral. Lineage: Eukaryota; Viridiplantae; Streptophyta; Magnoliopsida; Arecales; Arecaceae.